AAAGGGAGCGUAGGCGGAUAGUUUAGUCAGAGGUGAAAGCCCAGGGCUCAACCUUGGAAUUGCCUUUGAUACUGGCUAUCUUGAGUACGGAAGAGGUAUGUGGAACUCCGAGUGUAGAGGUGAAAUUCGUAGAUAUUCGGAAGAACACCAGUGGCGAAGGCGACAUACUGGUCCGUUACUGACGCUGAGGCUCGAAAGCGUGGGGAGCAAACAGGAUUAGAUACCCUAGU
Molecule: ribosomal RNA, 230 nt
Filed under: uncultured bacterium
Lineage: Bacteria
Description: partial 16S ribosomal RNA
Rfam family: Bacterial small subunit ribosomal RNA
Source: RNAcentral